Long non-coding RNA from Oncorhynchus keta (chum salmon), 425 nucleotides. RefSeq lists it as uncharacterized. NCBI's taxonomy places the organism in Eukaryota, Metazoa, Chordata, Actinopteri, Salmoniformes, Salmonidae. The record is from RefSeq and is a predicted model, not a curated record. The transcript is spliced from 3 exons.
CUCAAAACAGAAAUCACUUCAUUAACAUUUCUAUAAUUCUGUCAGGUAGCAAUACUGUGAAGGCUAAAUGAUUCUUUAAGGCAGCAAUACUGUGAAGGCUAAACGAUUCUUUAAGGUAGCAAUACUGUGAAGGCUAAACGAUUCUUUAAGGCAGCAAUACUGUGAAGGCUAAACGAUUCUUUAAGGCAGCAAUACUGUGAAGGCUAAACGAUUCUUUAAGGCAGCAAUACUGUGAAGGCUAAACGAUUCUUUAAGGCAGCAAUACUGUGAAGGCUAAACGAUUCUUUAAUAAGGCAGCAAUACUGUGAAGGCUAAACGAUUCUUUAAGGCAGCAAUACUGUGAAGGCUAAACGAUUCUUUAAGGCAGCAAUACUGUGAAGGCUAAACAAUUAACAGUAUAUAACGGCAAGUUGUUCUAGUGAAGA